GCUUCUGGCCUCUGCCCUCUCCCCCCACCCUGGAGGGCAGACAGAAGCACUCCUAUUUUGUUCUUGUCUCUCACCUGUCCGGGACAGACUCCAUCCUGUGCUACAAUGAGAGCUACACCAUUGUGAACGGGGUCACAUUAGGCUUUGACUUCCAGGAGCAAUGCACCAAGAAGGCUGCCAAGGACUUCUCCCAGUACUACUACGUGGACGAGGUGGAUGGGACGCUGGCCUGUGUGACCAGGUGCACCCCAGGCACCAAGUCGCAGCUCAAUUGCAACGAGGGCCAGUGCCGGCUGCAGCGUAGCGGCCCCCGCUGUGUGUGCUCCAACACAGACAGCCACUGGUACUGGGGGGAGACCUGUGAACACAGCACCAACAAGAAGCUCGUGUACGGGAUAGUGGGGGCCGUGCUGGCCGUGCUGGCAGUCCUUGUGGUGGUCCUUGUGUUCCUCCUCGGCCGAUCGCAGAGGAAGUUGCAUAG
Ochotona princeps (American pika) is the source of this 481-nucleotide long non-coding RNA. RefSeq lists it as uncharacterized. The transcript has 3 exons. The record is from RefSeq and is a predicted model, not a curated record. NCBI's taxonomy places the organism in Eukaryota, Metazoa, Chordata, Mammalia, Lagomorpha, Ochotonidae.